AUACGGAGGGUGCAAGCGUUACUCGGAAUCACUGGGCGUAAAGCGCGCGCAGGCGGCUAUUUAAGUUGGAUGUGAAAGCCUACGGCUCAACCGUAGAACUGCAUCCAAAACUACUUAGCUAGAGUGUGGGAGAGGAAGAUGGAAUUAGUUGUGUAGGGGUAAAAUCCGUAGAGAUAACUAGGAAUACCAAAAGCGAAGGCAAUCUUCUGGAACACUCCUGGCGCUGAGGCGCGAAAGCGUGGGGAGCAAACGGGAUUAGAAACCCCAGUAGUCC
This 274-nucleotide ribosomal RNA is filed under the name uncultured bacterium. RNAcentral's name for it is "partial 16S ribosomal RNA". It matches the Rfam family "Bacterial small subunit ribosomal RNA", at positions 523 to 796 of the family's 1533-position model. The record is from RNAcentral.